RNAcentral lists this long non-coding RNA (1130 nucleotides) under Canis lupus familiaris (dog). Its description in RNAcentral is "lncRNA (ENSCAFG00845014643.1)". The record is from RNAcentral. Lineage: Eukaryota; Metazoa; Chordata; Mammalia; Carnivora; Canidae.
UCCCACCCAAGGUUCCUGAUGGGAGUACACGCAGGAGGCCUGAGAAUCUGCAUUCCCAAUAAGUUCCCAAAAGGAUGUUGUUGGUCCUUGGACACACCUUGGGUAGUCUGGAUGAGAUGGGAGAGAAGGCCAGGUGCAUCUGCAGGGGGCCAUGGGGGGCCCUGGGAACUGAUUUUCUCCAGCUGUCACCUGGCCUGUGGACAGCCAGCCACACCAGCCCAUGUUCUGUGAGACUCCGCCAUCUACUGGAUGCAUCUAUCCCAUGCUGGAACUGGGGCGGUGCUAUAUUUAGGGCCUGAUUGAAGGAGGAACUUUCAGAGGUGAAGUCCUUCCCAUCACGCUGAGGGGGUAGGGGAACAGCCUUUGUAACAUCUGGGCCAUCUGCCCCUUCAGAUGACUCAGUUUCCAGUACGGAUGUUGGUGCCUGAAUUAACCUAGGAAAAUGAAAACAACAUGCACUUGCAAGCAUGUGAAGUAAGUUUUCACCAAACUGCUACUCUUUUUAGCUUUUAAAAACUCAGUAUCCAGUUAUUUUAAUGUACUAAAUGCAAAUGUUGGUGGUAACAUUUAAAUGGAAAAUGAUUGUGUAUCUUUAUGAAGUUUUCCUACAGGUACUCUAUAGGUGGUUGCAUAAAGCGUGUUUAAAAUGUGAUGAUUCACUUAUCAAACUAAGAAAAAAAAAAAAAAACCAAACCAAUAGCACUGUUGGCAAGCAUGUGCUGACACAGAUAUGCUUGUACAUUUAGUGGGAGUGUGACCCAAAAGUAAGUUGACACCAGUUUUUACACUGUGGGGUGGUGGUUCGAGUGCAGCCUCUGGAACUGGGCUAGACCUAGGUUUCACUUCUGGCCUGGGGAGAAUCUGUGUUACGUUGAUCAAGGCACUUUCUUUUUCUGGUAUGAAUUUCUUCAACCAGAAAUGAGGAACUGGAAGAUGGUCGAUGUAUCUCAAACUUUAUUUUUUUAAUUUAAUUUUAAUUUAAAAAAAUAGAUUUUUAGGGGAUCCCUGGGUGGCUCAGAGGUUUGGCGCCUGCCUUUGGCCCAGGGCGUGAUCCUGGGGUCCCGGGAUCGAGUCCCAUGUCGGGCUCCCAGGAUGGAGCCUGCUUCUCUCUCUGCCUGUGUCUCUGCCUC